GAUGAACGCUGGCGGCGUGCCUAAUACAUGCAAGUCGAGCGAACAGACGAGGAGCUUGCUCCUCGGACGUUAGCGGCGGACGGGUGAGUAACACGUGGAUAACCUACCUAUAAGACUGGGAUAACUUCGGGAAACCGGAGCUAAUACCGGAUAAUAUAUUGAACCGCAUGGUUCAAUAGUGAAAGACGGUUUUGCUGUCACUUAUAGAUGGAUCCGCGCCGCAUUAGCUAGUUGGUAAGGUAACGGCUUACCAAGGCGACGAUGCGUAGCCGACCUGAGAGGGUGAUCGCCCACACUGGAACUGAGACACGGUCCAGACUCCUACGGGAGGCAGCAGUAGGGAAUCUUCCGCAAUGGGCGAAAGCCUGACGGAGCAACGCCGCGUGAGUGAUGAAGGUCUUCGGAUCGUAAAACUCUGUUAUUAGGGAAGAACAAAUGUGUAAGUAACUAUGCACGUCUUGACGGUACCUAAUCAGAAAGCCACGGCUAACUACGUG
Molecule: ribosomal RNA, 497 nt
Filed under: uncultured bacterium
Lineage: Bacteria
Description: partial 16S ribosomal RNA
Rfam family: Bacterial small subunit ribosomal RNA
Source: RNAcentral